This is a non-coding RNA of Arachis ipaensis, 530 nucleotides long. The record is from RefSeq and is a predicted model, not a curated record. Lineage: Eukaryota; Viridiplantae; Streptophyta; Magnoliopsida; Fabales; Fabaceae.
AAACUCCUCUUUAUUUAAAAGAGUUCUACAACUUUCUCUUUCAUUGUCUUCUUCGCAUCCUUGCAUCCUGAAGCAGCAGGUUCUUCGCCUUUCUCCAAAUUUUAAGCCAACAAAUCAUUAAUUUUCAACCAAAUUUAAGAUCACAUUGUAAGCGGUUGAAUUCUUUAGGACGAUAAACUCAGCAUGCACUACUCGAACAUCAACACCUCCCACAGUAAAAAAGAGAUCAAUCUUCCCAUCAUGCUUAAUGAAGUGAUCUCCUAAACCCACUACCCCAGGAAGGUAUGGCUUCAGAUGUUGAUCCUUCAAUCCUAAUGCAUCAUAAGCAUUAACCAUGAUUCUUUUCACUAUUUUAUUUUCCAAUUUUGCAGUAAUUACCAACGGCUCAUCAUCAUCAUAUGUGACAUAUUGGAUCUUUACUUUGAAUGAUAAAGGUUAUUCUUUUUUUCCCUCUUUCUGUUCUUGGUUUCAGAUCUUGAAUUCGAUUUUUUUUUCCUUCAAUUUUGAGUUCAAGCAACAUAAAAAAUUAG